This 507-nucleotide ribosomal RNA is filed under the name uncultured bacterium. Its description in RNAcentral is "partial 16S ribosomal RNA". It matches the Rfam family "Bacterial small subunit ribosomal RNA", at positions 28 to 507 of the family's 1533-position model. The record is from RNAcentral.
GACGAACGCUGGCGGCGUGCUUAACACAUGCAAGUCGAACGGGCCUUGUCCCCUUUUUUUUGGGGGUGGGGUUAGUGGCGAACGGGUGAGUAACACGUGAGUAACCUGCCCCUCACUUCUGGAUAACCGCUUGAAAGGGUGGCUAAUACGGGGUGUUCUGGCCUGCUCGCAUGGGUGGGUUUGGAAAGAUUCGACCGGUUUUGGUGGUUUUGGUGGGGGAUGGGCUCGCGGCCUAUCAGCUUGUUGGUGGGGUGAUGGCCUGCCAAGGCUUUGACGGGUAGCCGGCCUGAGAGGGUGGGCGGUCACCCUGGGACUGAGACACGGCCCAGACUCCUACGGGAGGCAGCAGUGGGGAAUAUUGCACGAUGGGCGCAAGCCUGAUGCAGCGACGCCGCGUGAGGGAUGGAGGCCUUCGGGUUGUGAACCUCUUUCGCCAGUGAAGAAGGUCCUGCUCUUUGUGGUGGGGUUGACGGUAGCUGGGUUAAUGAAGCGCCGGCUAACUACGUG